RNAcentral lists this ribosomal RNA (402 nucleotides) under uncultured Reyranella sp. RNAcentral's name for it is "bacterial SSU rRNA". It matches the Rfam family "Bacterial small subunit ribosomal RNA", at positions 355 to 774 of the family's 1533-position model. The record is from RNAcentral. Lineage: Bacteria; Pseudomonadati; Pseudomonadota; Alphaproteobacteria; Hyphomicrobiales; Reyranellaceae.
UGGGGAAUAUUGGACAAUGGGGGCAACCCUGAUCCAGCCAUGCCGCGUGAGUGAUGAAGGCCUUCGGGUUGUAAAGCUCUUUUGGCGGGGACGAUGAUGACGGUACCCGCAGAAUAAGCCCCGGCUAACUUCGUGCCAGCAGCCGCGGUAAGACGAAGGGGGCUAGCGUUGUUCGGAAUUACUGGGCGUAAAGCGCGUGUAGGCGGUUGUCCAAGUUGGAUGUGAAAGCCUUGAGCUUAACUCAAGAAAUGCAUUCAGGACUGGAUGACUAGAGGACCGGAGAGGAUAGUGGAAUUCCCAGUGUAGUGGUGAAAUACGUAGAGAUUGGGAAGAACACCAGUGGCGAAGGCGGCUAUCUGGACGGUUUCUGACGCUAAGACGCGAAAGCGUGGGGAGCAAACA